UACAGAGGGGGCAAGCGUUAUUCGGAAUUAUUGGGCGUAAAGGGCGCGUAGGCGGCUUUUCAAGUGACGGGUGAAAUCCCUCGGCUUAACCGAGGAACUGCCUGUCAGACUGGAAGGCUUGAGACCGGGAGAGGUGAGUGGAAUUCCCAGUGUAGCGGUGAAAUGCGUAGAUAUUGGGAGGAGCACCAGUGGCGAAGGCGGCUCACUGGACCGGUACUGACGCUGAGGCGCGAAAGCGUGGGGAGCAAACAGG
This 253-nucleotide ribosomal RNA is filed under the name uncultured bacterium. Its description in RNAcentral is "partial 16S ribosomal RNA". It matches the Rfam family "Bacterial small subunit ribosomal RNA", at positions 524 to 776 of the family's 1533-position model. The record is from RNAcentral.